AUGGCGACUGACGCCGACCUCGACAUGGCCGCCCCCGCCUCUCUCGACGCCCCCGCCUCUUCCGCCGCCCGCUUCCACCCCAAGGUAAGGGGCAAGGCGAAGGCGAAGCUGAAGCCGAAGACGAAGCCCAAGCCCAAGUCCGGACAAGAGGGUGGCGUGGAUGCGAUGGAGACGGACAGGGUGAGUGCCGGCGAGAGCGCGGAUCUUGAGGACGAGGACUUCGUGGUGCGGGAGAUGGACGUGUAUUUCACGCCCAAGCCCUUCGACAAGGACACCAAGCUCUACAUCGCGCAGUACCCGCUGAGGCCAUGCUGGCGCCCUUACGAGCUCGGUGAAGUGUGCAAGGAGGUUCGCGUGAGGCCAGAGAGCUCAGAGGUUGAAGUGGAUCUGGAGAUCGAUACAGAGAGUGACAACUACGACCCGGAGGUUUCUGCAUCUUUGGGGCUGACAGAGCAGACGCUGUGUUCAUCGGAGGCAGCAGCUGAUGUGGCCGGUUAUGCCGCCGGGGUUCUUCGAGGUGGCUUGGUUCAUCUGAAUCAUCUUGAUGCAGUUCUGCAGCUGCGACCAUCAAUGGCGCAUCUCAUUUCCGGUGCAUCACGUACCACGAGGCAGCCUUUACAAGAGGUAGAAACAAAUGGACUGGCGGUUCCAUCAGUUAAGGGAGAUGAUUCAGAAUCUGAUCGAUGGAUUUCUCUCACUUACGAACCAGCUGGGAGUGAUGUUGCAAGCAGGUACUAUGCUGAGAUGAUGGCAAUCGAGGGCAGGCCCAUGGAUUUCACAAUGAGCACAAAAUAUUAUGCAAUGUCAUUGUGUCCUGGAGGGCCGACAGGCAGCAAGCAUAUUAACAGAUGCGAGGUGUUACGGGAGAUGCGUUCACUGCCACUGGAAGUGCGCUUCAAGAAAUGGUUUACUGAGGUGUCACAGGUGAAUCGGUUUGAUGCUCUGAUGCAUCUUGCUCCAGACUGUUCGGAGGAAGACCUUCUGAAAAUUCUUCCAGUGUACGCAGAUUUGGUGCGUGGUUUAUGGGUCUGCAAAAGCUCUUUGCUGUAUGAUGAUGGGCUUGCUUCCAAAAGGGAUAAAGUUCUGCUCGGAUUUACAAAAGGGGAGUCCAUAUCAGUGAAAUAUCUAGAGAGACUGAUUAGAGAUGAGCAAACGAGGAACAUGAUAUUGAACCCACUGGGUAAAAGAAGGGAGAAGCUUCAAGAUUACAAGUUUAUUGUACCAGCAGAUUCAUCAUUCAUAAGACGUUAUUCCCAUAUAGUCAAGGAGCAGGAAAAUGCUUGGUCAGUCCGCCUAAGAGCCUGA
This 1305-nucleotide ribosomal RNA is filed under the name Triticum aestivum (bread wheat). RNAcentral's name for it is "partial small subunit ribosomal RNA". Lineage: Eukaryota; Viridiplantae; Streptophyta; Magnoliopsida; Poales; Poaceae. The record is from RNAcentral.